RNAcentral lists this long non-coding RNA (338 nucleotides) under Elaeis guineensis (African oil palm). RNAcentral's name for it is "long non-coding RNA (EGUI_LNC038316)". Lineage: Eukaryota; Viridiplantae; Streptophyta; Magnoliopsida; Arecales; Arecaceae. The record is from RNAcentral.
UCCAUACCUCGGAUCUUGUGGAUGUCCUAGAUUCUAAUCGUAGCCACGCACAUGCCCAGCCUCUGCUGGUAUCUACAUGGAGAUAUCUAAUCAAAGCACCAAAAUCACUGGUGUGCUAGCACCUUACAGAUCUCGCUCCUCAUUCUUGGAUCUAGAUCUCUUCUUCCAGAUCUUGAAGAAGGAGAUCACUGCAUGAACUCUUUCAUGUAGAUCCGAUGGGAUCUGAACCAGAUCAUCAUGAAGAGAAAAAGAACCCUUCUUCUUCUCUUCUUCUCUCUCUUUUCUCUUCUUAGAUCUGAUCUCUAUCAGAUUUGGGCAUGGAGGUUGACAUGGAGAAG